This 422-nucleotide ribosomal RNA is filed under the name uncultured archaeon. Its description in RNAcentral is "partial 16S ribosomal RNA". It matches the Rfam family "Archaeal small subunit ribosomal RNA", at positions 323 to 746 of the family's 1478-position model. The record is from RNAcentral.
CUACGGGCCGCACCAGUUAGGAAUAAUCUGCAAUGCGCGAAAGCGUGACAGUUUGAACCAGAGUGCUUUCUAAAAUAGACAGCUUUUUUGCACUGUAAAAAGGUGUAAGAAUAAGGACUGGGUAAGACUAGUGCCAGCCGCCGCGGUAAUACUAGCGGUCCAAGUCGCAAUCACAUUUAUUGGGUCUAAAACAUCCGUAGCUUGCUUAAUAAGUUUUCUGUGAAAUUUUAUGUCUUAAACAUAAAGCGGGCAGAAAAUACUGUUGAGCUAGAGACUGGAAGACGUAAGGAGUACGUUUAAAGUAACGGUAAAAUGUGUUAAUCUUAAACGGACUAACAAUAGCGAAGGCACCUUACGAGGACAGUUCUGACAGUAAGGGAUGAAGGCUAGGGGCGCAAAACGGAUUAGAUACCCUGGUAGUC